GAUGAAGAACGUAGCGAAAUGCGAUAAGUAGUGUGAAUUGCAGAAUUCAGUGAAUCAUCGAAUCUUUGAACGCACAUUGCGCCCGGCAGUACUCUGCCGGGCAUGCCUGCUCGAGCGUCAUUUCAACCCUCAAGCCCUGCUUGGUGUUGGGGUCCCACGGCCGCCGUGGGCCCUGAAAGGAAGUGGCGGGCUCGCUACAACUCCGAGCGUAGUAAUUCAUUAUCUCGCUUAGGGCGUUGGGCGGCGCUCCUGCCGUUAAAGAACCAUCUUUAACUCAAGGUUGACCUCGGAUCAGGUAGGAAUACCCGCUGAACUUAAGCAUAUCAAUAAGCGGAGGA
Molecule: unclassified non-coding RNA, 338 nt
Filed under: soil metagenome
Description: partial contains 5.8S ribosomal RNA, internal transcribed spacer 2, and large subunit ribosomal RNA
Rfam family: 5.8S ribosomal RNA (bases 1-120)
Source: RNAcentral